GUGCCUGAGUUGUGUUGCGCACUCGCGAUGGUGCAUUAAAUUAAUCAAAAGCAGCUGUGUUAUAUUUAAACUCGCCCCGAGUGCACGCAUUCCGUUCCGUCAUCAACCGUCACUUUGCCUCAGAGAUCAGUGUCGCUGUUUGCGUUUAAACACUGAGUCUACGAUUUUUUUCAUCUAUAAAUCGGCUCAUACGCGACUAAAGGUUGGUCCAGACUGCUGAGUUGUUGUUUGAAAUCAUUUUGAAUGUUUUGUUGUGACUCGUGUAUCACGGUCCGAAUUCGCAAUAAUAACACACAGUGAAACCGUAGCUACGGCUUUGAUUAAAGGAGUCGAUUCAGUGAUUCAUAAUGGCCGUCAGUGCGGAGUGAACGCGCGCGCGCAGAAGACACGAGUGAGAGAUGAACAUGGAGGACAGAAGGGAAGAGAAACACACCAUGGCGUCUUCUCGAAGUGUCAUCGUCACUUAUUAUGAAGGGGACAUUAACACGGUGGUGGAUGAACACUUCUUCCGAGCUUUGAGUAAAAACAGUACUCCCAAAGACCUCAGCGUUAAACACCACGAGAGACAACCACCAUAUAACACUGAUUCUCAGACUCCUCCCUCGUGGCCUACAUCAUGGUCCAGGAGGAGUGUGUGUUCUCCAAAUCACACAAACCACAUGGCCCCAUGUUUCUCUGCUGAGGAAGCAGUUCGGUCUUCAUCAGUGAUCGUGAGUCGGCCUGAAACUCCUGCUUCCUGGAGUUUACCCCAAAACUACAUGCUAACACCGUUCUCUCAUCAACCAUCUGCAGCUCCAUCAUACCACCCUCCGGAAUGAGGUGUGUGGACAUCUGAGAACAGCAAGGAUUUAUGCUGGUAUUGACAUCGUCAUACCCACAAUACACCACACCCCCACAUUACCAUGCCCACAAAUACACCACACCCCCACAUUACCAUGCCCACAAAUACACCACACCCCCACACUACCAUGCCCACAAAUACACCACACCCCCACACUACCAUGCCCACAAAUACACCACACCCCCACACUACCACGCCCACAAAUACACCACACCCCCACACUACCAC
Molecule: long non-coding RNA, 1069 nt
Organism: Ictalurus furcatus (blue catfish)
Lineage: Eukaryota; Metazoa; Chordata; Actinopteri; Siluriformes; Ictaluridae
Exons: 5
Source: RefSeq, a predicted model, not a curated record